Long non-coding RNA from Balaenoptera acutorostrata (minke whale), 545 nucleotides. RefSeq lists it as uncharacterized. The record is from RefSeq and is a predicted model, not a curated record. The transcript has 3 exons. Lineage: Eukaryota; Metazoa; Chordata; Mammalia; Artiodactyla; Balaenopteridae.
GGUGUGUAAGCUGUGUUUUGAUGUGAGUUCCAGUGUGCGCUUUAGACUCGGGCUGCUGAGGAAACUUUUAGGAAUGUAUUACAGGUUACAGUAAGAAAAGAAGAUAAUUAUCUGUUAGCUGUUUUCAGCCCCUCAAGAACUUGGAAGGAGAUGGAGGUGGAGCCAAAAGAUAUGCCAAGUCACUGGGGAGACAUGGUGGUCUCUAAGGCAGCAUUCUGGAGCCAGGAGUGCGUCGGAGAAUGUAAUCGGCGGUUAGAUCUAAGGUUACAUGAGUUCUGGCUCAUCAGCCUGAUGCAUCAAUGUGUGAAAGCUAUUUCUUGUGCUUGGCUUUAGAGAAUAUGGAUACAUUCUAAGUAGCUUCUCUUUUUUCAAAUCUGUAUGUUUAACAUUAAAACAGCUGAUAUUAUACCCAGAGAGUAUCUCCAUCAUCAGUGAUCUUACAAUUUCACAUCUUAAAAAUAACAUAUUCUGUAUUACUUGAGCAUUUUCUAAUAAUACAAUUGUAAUCAGGUAUUAUUUCUGUCAAGGAGUUGAACUUGGCUGAA